Long non-coding RNA from Dendronephthya gigantea, 193 nucleotides. RefSeq lists it as uncharacterized. The record is from RefSeq and is a predicted model, not a curated record. The transcript has 3 exons. NCBI's taxonomy places the organism in Eukaryota, Metazoa, Cnidaria, Anthozoa, Malacalcyonacea, Nephtheidae.
CGGAAGAGACCGAAGUCCUGUAAUUACGUUUCUCAAAUUUUAAAGCGAAGACCAUAAAUAUGGGUGUGACUAUUGAAGUUUAUCGGGCCAGGAUUGGUUCACAUCACAAUUUUACACAUUGUCGCAACAGUUUGUGUCGUCUUAAAGACUUUCAAAUGAUGUGGAGGAAAAUCCAGGUCCUAGGACUAUAAAU